GGGAGAGGAGAUUAAAUUUACAUCAACUUUGGAAGUAGGCAAACCUGGGUUCAAAUCCUAGCUCUUCCA
Molecule: transfer RNA, 69 nt
Filed under: Ursus americanus (American black bear)
Lineage: Eukaryota; Metazoa; Chordata; Mammalia; Carnivora; Ursidae
Also listed under: 2 other names
Rfam family: tRNA
About the family: Transfer RNA (tRNA) molecules are approximately 80 nucleotides in length.
Source: Rfam by way of RNAcentral